This 85-nucleotide transfer RNA is filed under the name Cavenderia fasciculata SH3. RNAcentral's name for it is "Dictyostelium fasciculatum SH3 tRNA". It matches the Rfam family "tRNA". Rfam says of the family: Transfer RNA (tRNA) molecules are approximately 80 nucleotides in length. Their secondary structure includes four short double-helical elements and three loops (D, anti-codon, and T loops). Further hydrogen bonds mediate the characteristic L-shaped molecular structure. tRNAs have two regions of fundamental functional importance: the anti-codon, which is responsible for specific mRNA codon recognition, and the 3' end, to which the tRNAs corresponding amino acid is attached (by aminoacyl-tRNA synthetases). tRNAs cope with the degeneracy of the genetic code in two manners: having more than one tRNA (with a specific anti-codon) for a particular amino acid; and 'wobble' base-pairing, i.e. permitting non-standard base-pairing at the 3rd anti-codon position. Lineage: Eukaryota; Evosea; Eumycetozoa; Acytosteliales; Cavenderiaceae. The record is from Rfam by way of RNAcentral.
CCGGUUUUAGCUCAGUGGUAGAGCAGCUGACUGUAGUUUGUCAAAAGUCAUCAGCUGGUCGCUAGUUCAAUCCUGGCAAACCGGA